RNAcentral lists this ribosomal RNA (483 nucleotides) under uncultured bacterium. Its description in RNAcentral is "partial 16S ribosomal RNA". It matches the Rfam family "Bacterial small subunit ribosomal RNA", at positions 30 to 506 of the family's 1533-position model. The record is from RNAcentral.
AGUGAACGCUGGCGGCAGGCCUAACACAUGCAAGUCGAGCGGCAGCGCGGGGGCAACCCUGGCGGCGAGCGGCGGACGGGUGAGGAAUUCGUCGGAAUCUGCCUUUUUGUGGGGGAUAACGUAGGGAAACUUACGCUAAUACCGCAUACGUCCUACGGGAGAAAGUGGGGGACCGCAAGGCCUCACGCAGAAAGAUGAGCCGACGACCGAUUAGCUAGUUGGUGGGGUAAAGGCCCACCAAGGCGACGAUCGGUAGCUGGUCUGAGAGGAUGAUCAGCCACACUGGGGCUGAGACACGGCCCAGACUCCUACGGGAGGCAGCAGUGGGGAAUAUUGGACAAUGGGCGCAAGCCUGAUCCAGCCAGGCCGCGUGUGUGAAGAAGGCCUUCGGGUUGUAAAGCACUUUUGUCCGGAAAGAAAUCCCUGGAGCUAAUACCUUCGGGGGAUGACGGUACCGGAAGAAUAAGCACCGGCUAACUUCGU